GGCGAACGGGUGAGUAACACGUGGGCAAUCUGCCCUGCACUCUGGGAUAAGCCCGGGAAACUGGGUCUAAUACCGGAUACGACACUCCGAGGCAUCUUGGGGUGUGGAAAGUUCCGGCGGUGCAGGAUGAGCCCGCGGCCUAUCAGCUUGUUGGUGGGGUAAUGGCCUACCAAGGCGACGACGGGUAGCCGGCCUGAGAGGGUGACCGGCCACACUGGGACUGAGACACGGCCCAGACUCCUACGGGAGGCAGCAGUGGGGAAUAUUGCACAAUGGGCGAAAGCCUGAUGCAGCGACGCCGCGUGAGGGAUGACGGCCUUCGGGUUGUAAACCUCUUUCAGCAGGGAAGAAGCGAAAGUGACGGUACCUGCAGAAGAAGCACCGGCUAACUACGUGCCAGCAGCCGCGGUAAUACGUAGGGUGCGAGCGUUGUCCGGAAUUAUUGGGCGUAAAGAGCUCGUAGGCGGUUUGUCGCGUCGAUUGUGAAAGCCCGGGGCUUAACCCUGGGUCUGCAGUCGAUACGGGCAGGCUAGAGUUCGGCAGGGGAGACUGGAAUUCCUGGUGUAGCGGUGAAAUGCGCAGAUAUCAGGAGGUACACCGGUGGCGAAGGCGGGUCUCUG
Molecule: ribosomal RNA, 620 nt
Filed under: Streptomyces sp. I12A-02009
Lineage: Bacteria; Bacillati; Actinomycetota; Actinomycetes; Kitasatosporales; Streptomycetaceae
Description: bacterial SSU rRNA
Rfam family: Bacterial small subunit ribosomal RNA
Source: RNAcentral